Long non-coding RNA from Pipra filicauda (Wire-tailed manakin), 759 nucleotides. RefSeq lists it as uncharacterized. The transcript is spliced from 3 exons. Lineage: Eukaryota; Metazoa; Chordata; Aves; Passeriformes; Pipridae. The record is from RefSeq and is a predicted model, not a curated record.
GGAUCCGGGAACGCCGCAUCCGACCCUGCCCUGCGGCGCCGUGGGGUCGUUCCGCGACCGCUGGCACCCCGGGCCCGUGUACAGACUCCCUGCCCAGCGCUCUUGGAGCCCCUUUAGGCACUGGAAGGGGCUCUAAUGGCUCCCCGGGGGAGCUGCUUCUUCUCCAAGUGUCCGACAGUGAUAAACUGCACCAGGGGGGACCGUUGGAGCGCGGCCGGGACCGAAGCAGCCCCGCCGGCCCUGGAGCCACCCGGACCCCCCAGGACUCCCCCGGGACCCCCCGACCGCGGCCCGGGACAGGUUGCGGGUUAAAUGUUUGGAGAAGGAACUGAGCCCAGGAAAGUGGGAGUUGCCCAGAGAGGCUCCUCAGUGUGAUUCAGGUACCGUGAUCUGUUGGACUGACUGUGGGAUCGAGCAUAAAUGCUGUUAUCAGGUGCCUGUUUCUUACCCUCACAGAACUGGUCCUGAAUUUUUAAUUUCUGACAAACCUGUGGCCUGGAGCUGUGAUUUCUGCAUUUUCUGUCAUGUAUAGGACAUGUAAAAAUAUUCCUCUGUGAGAUACACUCCUCUACUUGAAAUUCCCACAGAAAUCCAUUGUUGUGCAACACAUCCCUUGUCUGGAGAAGGUGAAUCCUAGAAUUAUGGACUGGUGUGGGUAGGAAGGGACCUCAAAGAACCUUUAGUUCAACUCCCCUUACUUUGCACUCUCCCUGGUUGCUCCAAGCCUUGUCCAGCCUGGCCUUGAACACUCCCAGGGAC